GACGAACGCUGGCGGCGUGCUUAACACAUGCAAGUCGAACGGAAAGGCCCGGCUUUUGUGGGGUGCUCGUGUGGCGAACGGGUGAGUAACACGCGUGUAACCUGUCCUUGACUUUGGGAUAACUUCUGGAAACUGGGGCUAAUACAGGGUAGGAGAUCCCGCUCCACGGUGUGGGUUGGAAAGAUUCGGCGGUUGGGGAUGGACUAGCGGCUCAUCAGCUUGUUGGUGGGGUAGUGGCUUACCAAGGCUUUGACGGGUAGCCGGCCUGAGAGGGUGACCGGCCACAUUGGGACUGAGAUACGGCCCAGACUCCUACGGGAGGCAGCAGUGGGGAAUAUUGCACAAUGGGCGGAAGCCUGAUGCAGCAACGCCGCGUGCGGGAUGACGGCCUUCGGGUUGUAAACCGCUUUCGCCUGUGACGAAGCGUGAGUGACGGUAAUGGGUAAAGAAGCACCGGCUAACUACGUG
This 468-nucleotide ribosomal RNA is filed under the name uncultured bacterium. Its description in RNAcentral is "partial 16S ribosomal RNA". It matches the Rfam family "Bacterial small subunit ribosomal RNA", at positions 28 to 507 of the family's 1533-position model. The record is from RNAcentral.